RNAcentral lists this long non-coding RNA (2069 nucleotides) under Zostera marina. Its description in RNAcentral is "long non-coding RNA (ZMAR_LNC004110)". Lineage: Eukaryota; Viridiplantae; Streptophyta; Magnoliopsida; Alismatales; Zosteraceae. The record is from RNAcentral.
CAGACUAUUUUUUGGGCUUUGAGCUGAAGAAAUCGUUCAAGUCCAUAUUAAGGCCCAUAUAUCAACGAAUAAGUUUACCCCAACUAAACCCUAUCACUCGAUAUCCUAUUUAAACUCAUGAUUCUCCAAAUUUAGGGAAACAGAAAAACCCUAGAAAAUGUUCUCUUAUGCUUCUCCAAUUUCAUGAGUUUCAUCGUUCUACGAAAAUACGAUUUAUUUUUUAACAGAUUUAUUUUGUUUCUGGAUUAUUUUUAUCUAUCUAUCUAUCCAUCCAUCUAUCUUUUUUCUCCUUACGUAGCUGGGUAUUUACGUUUUUUUUUUGUGAUCGAUGAUGUUCUAAAAUCUGCGUUAUCUUUCUGCAUCUGCCUUCCGUUGAUUGCGGUUGGGUUCUGGAGAAAACAUAAUUUUCGCUGAGAUCUAUUCGUCCGACGUCCAUACACCACAGUGUGAUUUUAACUGUUUUUCGUUUUCAAUUUGCAGUUCUUGGACUAUUUUUAUUUAUGAUUUUCGUAUUAUUGUUACGAUUUCUUUUGCGUUUCAAAUAUUUUAUAUUUUUUAAUUUUCACUGUCAAUAUUGGAGAUUUAAAAACAAAUUAUUUUCCAACUAUUUAGUUUUGUUUCGUCACUUUCAUCUCCUGUUGAAAAUAGCAGAUAAUUGAAGAUAACCUAAAGUUCAGGUCGUUGGUGUUACCUGUACAAAAAUGGAUCCGCGACCCGAUGAAACGGGAUGACGUCUUAUGUCGACCCGGACCCGAUUAAUUAGAGUAAGAGUUUGUUUGUUUAUGUUUUUACUAAUCGAAAUUCAACAACCUAAAAGAUAUUAUCCAUAAUGUCCGAUCAAGCCCAUGUUUUUAUGGUUUAGAACAAAUAAUUUUUUUUUGUUUAUUUUUUAAUUUCAGUUCGACGAUUUUUGAUUUUUCGACAUUCUUCGCGUCCUUUCUUUGUUGUCUUGAAAUUGAGUGAAAAUGUUCCAGUUAACUUUCAAUCAUCCAUUUGAUUGUCUCCGACGAGUUUGUCCAUCAUUGGAAUUUCUGUUAGAUUCUUCUACAAAACAAGAAACUUCGAUGUGGUUUGACCGUAGUUCCUCCUCAGUUCUUUGUUUAUUUUCCUUAAUAAAUUUCAGGAUAAUUGUACAUCUAUAACCUUCUCCAAGUUUGUCAGCGGCGGCAACCUUCAAAAACCCCUGAUUAGUCGAUACGCUAUCGUUCCCAGGAAUAGGAUCAACAUCAGAAUCGUUUUUUAUAAGAACCUACUUAUCAUUUUUCGUAGUUGAAUCAUUCCUUUUAGGAGAAUCGCAAGUCAGUUAAAAAUAAGAGAAUCUUUCGGACAAUCGAUAUUUUGACUGAAAUUUAAAAAUUAAGUUGUUAUUGGCCAAAAUAAGUGAUCUGAAAUGUAAUUCUCCCUCAGUUAUAAUGGGUACAAAUAGAAGUGAACACCGGUUGUAAAAUAUGGUAGUCCCAGAUAUGUUAUGGGUAAACUUUUAACAGUAUAUCUUAAGAUGUCAUGUAAAGAUUGAUCUUCUGCACAUACUUUUGUUCGCAUUUACCUUCAAUUUUGAAAACAAUGAAAUUUUCUCAACCAACGCUUUAAUUGCAUUAAGCGAUUUCGAGUUUGUGUUUGAGAAGAUGAGAAUAUCAUCUUCUGUAUACGUAAGAUGAGAUAUAGAAGUAGUCAAGUAGCACCAUUAAUUUGAUAGAUGUUUAUCUUUUUGUUUUUCAUUUCACUCUGUAUCAAUCUACCUAGACGUUCAUAACCAUGUCAAAUAAAAUAGAAGAUAGAUGAUCACCCUGCUUAACUCCCUUCUUGCUUUUGAAGGAAGGCGUUGAAGUCCCUUCCACUAGUACUGAGAAUGAAAUCAAAUUGUAAAAUAUAAGAUAAAAUAUAUACGUUUCAAGAGUGAAAAUUAUAAUCUCCCAACUAACUGUGUCAAUUUUUUUUUAAGAUCUAUACUCAAACAACACCUUUUGAGAGUUCUUUUUUUCCCAAAGUCAUAAACCAUCUCAUCCACUAGAAUGGUAUUAUCCGAGAUGAGUCUGAAGAUUAUAUACAACAAUUUUCAGGGAAGCCCC